Molecule: ribosomal RNA, 465 nt
Filed under: Vreelandella stevensii
Lineage: Bacteria; Pseudomonadati; Pseudomonadota; Gammaproteobacteria; Oceanospirillales; Halomonadaceae
Description: partial 16S ribosomal RNA
Rfam family: Bacterial small subunit ribosomal RNA
Source: RNAcentral
CCUACGGGAGGCAGCAGUGGGGAAUAUUGGACAAUGGGGGCAACCCUGAUCCAGCCAUGCCGCGUGUGUGAAGAAGGCCCUCGGGUUGUAAAGCACUUUCAGUGAGGAAGAACGCCUGGUGGUUAAUACCCAUCAGGAAAGACAUCACUCACAGAAGAAGCACCGGCUAACUCCGUGCCAGCAGCCGCGGUAAUACGGAGGGUGCGAGCGUUAAUCGGAAUUACUGGGCGUAAAGCGCGCGUAGGUGGCUUGAUAAGCCGGUUGUGAAAGCCCCGGGCUCAACCUGGGAACGGCAUCCGGAACUGUCAAGCUAGAGUGCAGGAGAGGAAGGUAGAAUUCCCGGUGUAGCGGUGAAAUGCGUAGAGAUCGGGAGGAAUACCAGUGGUGAAGGCGGCCUUCUGGACUGACACUGACACUGAGGUGCGAAAGCGUGGGUAGCAAACAGGAUUAGAUACCCGGGUAGUC